CCCUUAGAUGUUCUGGGCCGCACGCGUGCUACACUGAACGGUUCAAUGGGUAAGGUAGUGCGAAAGCAUGACCUAAUCUCGAAAUCCGUUCGUGCUGGGGAUAGAAGCUUGCAAUUAUCCUUCUUGAACGAGGAAUACCUUGUAAGCGUGGGUCAUCAUCUCACGCUGAAUACGUCCCUGCCCUUUGUACACACCGCCCGUCGCUCCUACCGAUUGAGUGUUCCGGUGAGGCUUUGGGAGAAUGGCCUCAACAUGAGUUUAUCGUGUUUUGCCGUUUGAACUUAGUCAAACCUUAUCACUUAGAGGAAGGAGAAGUCGUAACA
This 323-nucleotide ribosomal RNA is filed under the name uncultured eukaryote. Its description in RNAcentral is "partial 18S ribosomal RNA". It matches the Rfam family "Eukaryotic small subunit ribosomal RNA", at positions 1470 to 1796 of the family's 1831-position model. The record is from RNAcentral.